Molecule: ribosomal RNA, 200 nt
Filed under: uncultured bacterium
Lineage: Bacteria
Description: partial 16S ribosomal RNA
Rfam family: Bacterial small subunit ribosomal RNA
Source: RNAcentral
AUUCCUACGGGAGGCAGCAGUGGGGAAUUUUGGACAAUGGGCGCAAGCCUGAUCCAGCAAUGCCGCGUGCAGGAAGAAGGCCUUCGGGUUGUAAACUGCUUUUGUACGGAACGAAACGGUCUGGGUUAAUACCCUGGGCUAAUGACGGUACCGUAAGGAUAAGCACCGGCUAACUACGUGCCAGCAGCCGCGGUAAUAAU